Molecule: ribosomal RNA, 795 nt
Filed under: Bacteroidota bacterium
Lineage: Bacteria; Pseudomonadati; Bacteroidota
Description: bacterial SSU rRNA
Rfam family: Bacterial small subunit ribosomal RNA
Source: RNAcentral
AACGGGUGCGGAACACGUACAGAACCUACCUUCGAGCGGGGGAUAGCCCAGAGAAAUUUGGAUUAAUACCCCAUAGUAUAUUUGGAUGGCAUCAUUUGAAUAUUAAAGAUUUAUCACUUGAAGAUGGCUGUGCGUAUGAUUAGGUAGUUGGCGGGGUAACGGCCCACCAAGCCUACGAUCAUUAACUGGUGUGAGAGCACGACCAGUCACACGGGCACUGAGACACGGGCCCGACUCCUACGGGAGGCAGCAGUAAGGAAUAUUGGUCAAUGGACGCAAGUCUGAACCAGCCAUGCCGCGUGGAGGAUGAAGGUCCUCUGGAUUGUAAACUUCUUUUAUCUGGGACGAAAAAAGGGAAUUCUUUCUCGUCUGACGGUACCAAAUGAAUAAGCACCGGCUAACUCCGUGCCAGCAGCCGCGGUAAUACGGAGGGUGCAAGCGUUAUCCGGAUUCACUGGGUUUAAAGGGUGCGUAGGCGGGUAUGUAAGUCCGUGGUGAAAUCUCCGAGCUUAGCUCGGAAACUGCCAUGGGUACUGCGUAUCUUGAAUGUUGUGGAGGUGAGCGGAAUAUGUCAUGUAGCGGUGAAAUGCUUAGAUAUGACAUAGAACACCAAUUGCGAAGGCAGCUCACUACACAAAUAUUGACGCUGAGGCACGAAAGCGUGGGGAUCAAACAGGAUUAGAUACCCUGGUAGUCCACGCCCUAAACGAUGAUUACUCGACAUACGCGAUACACAGUGUGUGUCUGAGCGAAAGCAUUAAGUAAUCCACCUGGGAAGUACGACCGCAAGGUUGA